GACGAACGCUGGCGGCGUGCUUAACACAUGCAAGUCGAACGGAAAGGCCCUGCUUUUGUGGGGUGCUCGAGUGGUGAACGGGUGAGUAACACGUGAGUAACCUGCCCUUGACUUUGGGAUAACUUCAGGAAACUGGGGCUAAUACCGGAUAGGAGCUCCUGCUGCAUGGUGGGGGUUGGAAAGUUUCGGCGGUUGGGGAUGGACUCGCGGCUUAUCAGCUUGUUGGUGGGGUAGUGGCUUACCAAGGCUUUGACGGGUAGCCGGCCUGAGAGGGUGACCGGCCACAUUGGGACUGAAAUACGGCCCAGACUCCUACGGGAGGCAGCAGUGGGGAAUAUUGCACAAUGGGCGGAAGCCUGAUGCAGCAACGCCGCGUGCGGGAUGACGGCCUUCGGGUUGUAAACCGCUUUCGCCUGUGACGAAGCGUGAGUGACGGUAAUGGGUAAAGAAGCACCGGCUAACUACGUG
RNAcentral lists this ribosomal RNA (468 nucleotides) under uncultured bacterium. Its description in RNAcentral is "partial 16S ribosomal RNA". It matches the Rfam family "Bacterial small subunit ribosomal RNA", at positions 28 to 507 of the family's 1533-position model. The record is from RNAcentral.